Molecule: ribosomal RNA, 497 nt
Filed under: uncultured bacterium
Lineage: Bacteria
Description: partial 16S ribosomal RNA
Rfam family: Bacterial small subunit ribosomal RNA
Source: RNAcentral
GAUGAACGCUGGCGGCGUGCCUAAUACAUGCAAGUCGAGCGAACAGACGAGGAGCUUGCUCCUCUGACGUUAGCGGCGGACGGGUGAGUAACACGUGGAUAACCUACCUAUAAGACUGGGAUAACUUCGGGAAACCGGAGCUAAUACCGGAUAAUAUAUUGAACCGCAUGGUUCAAUAGUGAAAGACGGUUUUGCUGUCACUUAUAGAUGGAUCCGCGCCGCAUUAGCUAGUUGGUAAGGUAACGGCUUACCAAGGCGACGAUGCGUAGCCGACCUGAGAGGGUGAUCGGCCACACUGGAACUGAGACACGGUCCAGACUCCUACGGGAGGCAGCAGUAGGGAAUCUUCCGCAAUGGGCGAAAGCUUGACGGAGCAACGCCGCGUGAGUGAUGAAGGUCUUCGGAUCGUAAAACUCUGUUAUUAGGGAAGAACAAAUGUGUAAGUAACUAUGCACGUCUUGACGGUACCGAAUCAGAAAGCCACGGCUAACUACGUG